GCGGCACGGCAACGGCUGGGGCACGGCAACGGCUGGUGCAUGUUGCCGGCGGAGGCAUUUAGGUAGUGCACGACGGCUGGGCGCCGGGCCUGUUUGGCUGUGACGCCCACCCCCGGCUUUCAUCCGCCUAUGCCCUAGGGCUAGUGGAAGACUUAAGAUGGCGGCGUUUGCACGGAGUGCAAUCACUGCGUCCUUACGGGGGUUGCAAGGCGUCCGAAGUAUGAGUCCACUAACAAAAGUCCAGAAACUCGCCAGUUAAUAGUAUUGUGUCUCUUCAAAAUAUCGGAGAAUAAUUUCUUUCUCGCUGAUCGCCUAACUUCUACUGACGAAGCUUGGAAGUUGCAGAAGAUGGAGUUCGCUCUUGUUGCCCAGGCUGGAAUGCAAUGGCAUGACCUUGGCUCACUGCAACCUCUGCCUCCCCAGUUCAAGUGGUUCUCCUGCCUCAGCCUCCCGAGUAGCUGAGAUUACAGGUACUGGCUCCUGUAUCACCCAGCUCUGGAGUUGAAAGAGCUCUUCAUUCCUGAGUCUCCUGUACCACUGAGAAUAGAAAUACAAAAAAAAUUCUAAAACUUGUAUGGAACUACAAAAGACAUUAAAUAAUCAAAGUAAUCUUGAGCAACAAGGACACAGCUGGAGGCAUCACUCUACCUGAUUUUGUAAUCCAUUAUCAAAAAACUGUGGUACCAGCAUAAAAACAGAUUCACUGACCAGUGGAACAGGAAAGCCCAGACAUAACUCAUACAUUUCCAUCCAAUUGAUUUUUGACAAAAGUGGCACACAGAAUGGGGAGAGGACAAAUAAAUAAAUAAAUUGUUUUGAGAUAUCUGUAUAUCUAUAUGUGAAAUUGAACCAUUUUCUCAUAGCAUAUAGAAAAAUCAACUCAAAAUGGAUUAAAGCCUGAAAUGUUGCCUUUGAAACUGUAAAACUACUAGUAGAAAAUAUAGGGGAAAAGCUCUAUGAUGUUGUUCUGGGCAAUGAUUUCUUGGAUACAUCCUUAAAAGCAUGGGCAGCAAAAACAGCCAGACAACUAUCAGGGAACCUGCCCAGAUAGUCACAUAGGUUCUUUUCUAUUUUCCCUAAGCAUUGGCCGGGUUGAGAAAUAAAGGGACAGAGUACAAAAGAGAGAAAUUUUAAAGCUGGGCAUCCUGGGGAGACAUCACAUGUCGGUAGGUUCCGUGAUGCCCCCUGAGCCGUAAAACCAGUAAGUUUUUAUUAGGGAUUUUCAAAGGGGAGGGAGUAUACGAAUAGGAGGUGGGUCACAGAGAUCACGUGCUUCACAAGGUAAUAGAAUAUCACAAGGCAAAUGGAGGCAGGGCGAGAUCACAGGACCACAGGACUGGGUUGAAAUUAAAAUUGCUAAUGAAGUUUCGGGCACCAUCGUCAUUGAUAACAUCUUAUCAGGAGACAGGGUUUGAGAGCAACCUGUCUGACCAAAAUUUAUUAGGUGGGAAUUUCCUCGUCCUAAUAAGCCUGGGAGCGCUAUGGGAGACUGGGGCUUAUUUCAUCCCUACAGUCUCGACCAUAGAAGACAGCUACACCCAAGGGGGCCAUUUUAGAGGCCCACCCUCAGGGGCACAUUCUCUUUCUCAGGGAUGUUCCUUGCUGAGAAAAAGAAUUCGGCGAUAUUUCUCCCAUUUGCUUUUGAAAGAAGAGAAAUAUGGCUCUGUUCCGCCUGGCUCACCGGCGGUCAGAGUUUAAGGUUAUCUCUCUUAUUCCCUGAACAUUGCUGUUAUCCUGUUCUUUUUUCAAGGUGCCUAGAUUUCAUAUUGUUUAAACACACAUGCUCUACAAUUUCUGCACUUAACACAAUUAUCACAGGGUCCUGAGGCGACAUACGUCCUCCUCGGCUUACGAGAUGACAGGAUUAAGAGAUUAAAACAGGCAUAGGAAAUCACAAGGGUAUUGAUUGGGGAAGUGAUAAGUGUCCAUGAAAUCUUCACAAUUUAUGUUUAGAGAUUGCAGUAAAGACAGGCAUAAGAAAUUAUAAAAGUAUUAAUUUGGGGAACUAAUAAAUGUCCAUGAAAUCUUCACGAUCCACGUUCUUCCGCCAUGGCUUCAGCCAGUCCCUCCGUUUGGGGUCCCUGACUUCCCGCAACAGACAACUUGAGUUGCAUCAAACUAAAAAGCAUCUGCACUGCAAAGGGUACAGUUAACAGAAUGAAGACACGGGUUUUGAGAAACCAUUUUCAAAUCAUAUAUCUGAUAAGGGGCUAAUAUCCAAAAUGUAUUAAGAAACCCAAGCCCAAUAGCAAGAAAACAACUGUCUUUAAAAGGGGGAAAAGGACCUCAACUUAAAUUUUUCAGAGGAAGACAUGAGUGGCCAAUUGAUUGAUACAUGAAAAAAAUGCUCAACAUCUCUAAUCAUUAGUGAGUUGCAAAUCAAAACUGCAAGAUAUUACCUUACACCUUUUAGAAUGGCUAUUAUUAAAAGGAUGAAAGACAGGUGCUGGCAAGGAUGUGGAUAAAAGGAAGUCCCAACAUUCUGUUAGUGGGAAUAUAAAUUAGUAUAGCCAAUUUAGGAAACUAUAUGGUGGUUCCUUAAGAAACUAAAAGUACAAUUACUAUAUGAUCUAGCAAUCUCUACUUAGGUAUAUAUCCAAAGGAAUUGAAGCAGUAUGUUGAGAUCUUGCACUCCCUUAUUUUGAAAUUAUUUACAAAGCUAAUAAAUGGAAAAGACUUAAGUUUUCAUAACAGAUGAAUGGACAUAGAAGAUGUGUUGUAUAUACAUAUUGGAAUAUUUUUUAUCCUUGGAAAAGAAGGAAAAUUGUCAUUUGUGACAACAUGGAUGAAUCUGUAGUAUACUAUGCUAAGUGUUGUAAGACAGGCACAGAGAGGCAAAUACUACAUUAUAUUUGUAUGUGGAAUCUAAGAAAGGCUAACUCAUACAAGUAGAAAGUUGGAUGUUAUGGUUUCCAGGAUGUGGGUGUUGGAGAGAUGGGCAAAGGCAAGACGUUGGUCAAAGAGUACCAAUUUUCUGUUAGGAGGAAUAAGUUUUAGACAUAUUUCACAGCAUGGUGACCAUUGUCACUGACUGUAUAUUUUAAAAUUGUUAUAAGUAGAUAUUAAAGUUGUCACAACAAAAGUAGGUGAAGUUAUGGAUAUGUUAAUGUGCUUGAUUUAGUUAUUACACUAUGUAUACAUACAAAAACAUCAGAUAGUUCCCUGGAAUUAUAUACAAUUAUUACUUGUCAAUUAUAAAAAAAAGCCCUACUGCAACCACUAAAAAGGAUUUUCAUAUAAUAGAGGGAAAAAUCGUUAAAGAUAAUAAUACAUUAUUUUAGAAAAUAUUAACUUAUAAAAAGUAGUAUAGGAGGGAUUCUGUAAAAGAAGAUAGACAUAGAAUUUUAAAAUGUAUAAUGGAAAAUUUAAAUCCAGCUGUACUGAUGGAUCAAGCAAUCCAAACCAGUCUGAUUGACCAAGUGGAUAUUUAAAAAACAAUCAAACUAUAAGGUGUCUGUUGUAGGCAGUUUAUAAAAUACAAAAGUGUUGAAAGAAAUAGGAUGGAAAUAGAAAUAUCCAAGUAGCAACCACAAAAAAACUGGAAUGUCUGCACUAACAUCAUACAAAACAAACCAAAUGAAGGUUAAAAAUAUUGAAAUUAUACAAAAUAUGUUCUAUGACUAAAAUUUAAUGAAAUUAGAAAUAACACAGAGAUAGGAACUAUACAUAUUUGUGCAAAUUUAAAAAGUUAUGCUGAGUGUGGUGGCUCACACCUGUAAUCCCAGCACUUUGGGAGGCCGGGGAGGGUGGAUCACUUGAAGUCAGGAGUUGGAGACCAGCCUGGCCAACAUGGUGAAACCCUGUCUCUACUAAAAAUACAGAAAAUUAGCCAGAUGUGGUGGUGUGCGCCUGUAGUCCCAGCUACUCGGGUGGCUGAGGCACUAGAAUCACUUGAGCCUAGGAGGCAGAGGUGGCAGUGAGCCGAGAUCACACCACUGCACUGCAGCCUG
Long non-coding RNA from Homo sapiens (human), 3950 nucleotides. Ensembl annotates it as JPX transcript, XIST activator. Its record names the gene JPX. The record is from Ensembl. NCBI's taxonomy places the organism in Eukaryota, Metazoa, Chordata, Mammalia, Primates, Hominidae.